CUCUCCAAUCCUAAGUUGUAUGAAGAGUUCUUCACACAGACACUUACAUGCACACACAUUCUCUGAGCAGGUCUGCUCAGAAUUGCCUGGCUGUGACUUUGUUCUCAAAAUAUGUUGGUGUUUGGCAGCUAUGUCAGACUAUCAGCCAGUCCCUAAAUACACCUUAUUAUUUCUCGUCAUUUAUGUCUCUGGGAUGAAAAAUAUAUCAGCCUGGUUGGUAAGAACAGAGUCGCUAAAUGUGUUAAAGAAAUAAAGGGUUUCAUACAGGAUUGGGGCUUACCCAAACAUGGGAGGGGCUGGGAGAGUCAUGGUCUGAAGGCUGCAGUUAAAGGGUAGGAGAAACAGUCACCUACAACUCAGAACUGGAAAGACUGGAACUCUUGGGCGUGCCUGAGAAGCUGCUGUGACUGCCUGCCAGAGUGGGAGUGCCCAGUGAGGUUUGCUAAACCACAUGCUCCCUAAAACUGCGGUGUGAGCCAACAUGACCUCCCAAGAGCUUUCCUCCUGCCUUCCCACCACAGGCUUCUCAUUGGUUAUAUGUAUUUUGAAACAGGAAAUCUCGCCAUCCUCACCAAAGCCAUUUCCUUGAGAGGAUUUUAUCUGGUUUGUCUCCUUGACUCCAGGCAGGGCUCCAUUCCAACCAGAUGGAAGAAUGCAGACAUCUCACAUCAUUUACACCCAGAAGGCUGUCAGCAGCAGCGCUCAGGGAGUGAGAGUGUUUAAUCUCGAGGAGGAAAUAGAAUGUAUACACACCCUGCAAACUGAGAUGUUUUACGUUGGCUCUGGCUCCUACCGCCCCCCAUGUGUGGCAGCAGCUACCAAGACUCUACUGUGAAUCCCCAUGACUGCAAUGAGAAUGAACAAAA
RNAcentral lists this long non-coding RNA (866 nucleotides) under Homo sapiens (human). RNAcentral describes it as "HSALNT0399863". Lineage: Eukaryota; Metazoa; Chordata; Mammalia; Primates; Hominidae. The record is from RNAcentral.